RNAcentral lists this ribosomal RNA (229 nucleotides) under uncultured bacterium. RNAcentral's name for it is "partial 16S ribosomal RNA". It matches the Rfam family "Bacterial small subunit ribosomal RNA", at positions 104 to 334 of the family's 1533-position model. The record is from RNAcentral.
CGGGGUGAGUAAUGUAUGGGGAUCUGCCUGAUGGCGGGGGGUAACUACUGGAAACGGUAGCUAAUACCGCAUAAUGUCUGCGGACCAAAGCGGGGGACCUCCGGGCCUCGCGCCAUCAGAUGAACCCAUAUGGGAUUAGCUUGUAGGUAAGGUAACGGCUUACCUAGGCGACGAUCCCUAGCUGGUCUGAGAGGAUGACCAGCCACACUGGAACUGAGACACGGUCCAG